AAUGAACGCUGGCGGCAUGCCUUACACACGCAAGUCGAACGGUAACAGGUCUUCGGAUGCUGACGAGUGGCGAACGGGUGAGUAAUACAUCGGAACGUGCCUAGUAGUGGGGGAUAACUACUCGAAAGAGUGGCUAAUACCGCAUGCGAUCUACGGAUGAAAGCAGGGGAUCGCAAGACCUUGUGCUACUAGAGCGGCCGAUGGCAGAUUAGGUAGUGGGUGGGAUAAAAGCUUACCAAGCCGACGAUCUGUAGCUGGUCUGAGAGGACGAUCAGCCACACUGGGACUGAGACACGGCCCAGACUCCUACGGGAGGCAGCAGUGGGGAAUUUUGGACAAUGGGCGAAAGCCUGAUCCAGCAAUGCCGCGUGCAGGAUGAAGGCCUUCGGGUUGUAAACUGCUUUUGUACGGAACGAAAAGCCCCGGGUUAAUACCCUGGGGUCAUGACGGUACCGUAAGAAUAAGCACCGGCUAACUACGUGCCAGCCGCCGCCGUAA
This 498-nucleotide ribosomal RNA is filed under the name uncultured bacterium. Its description in RNAcentral is "partial 16S ribosomal RNA". It matches the Rfam family "Bacterial small subunit ribosomal RNA", at positions 29 to 523 of the family's 1533-position model. The record is from RNAcentral.